This 77-nucleotide transfer RNA is filed under the name Oscillospiraceae bacterium. RNAcentral describes it as "tRNA-Arg". It matches the Rfam family "tRNA". Rfam says of the family: Transfer RNA (tRNA) molecules are approximately 80 nucleotides in length. Lineage: Bacteria; Bacillati; Bacillota; Clostridia; Eubacteriales; Oscillospiraceae. The record is from RNAcentral.
GCGCCGGUAGCUCAGUUGGAUAGAGUGCGUGGCUACGGACCACGAGGUCGGGAGUUCGAAUCUUCUCCGGCGCGCCA